Molecule: long non-coding RNA, 430 nt
Filed under: Elaeis guineensis (African oil palm)
Lineage: Eukaryota; Viridiplantae; Streptophyta; Magnoliopsida; Arecales; Arecaceae
Description: long non-coding RNA (EGUI_LNC058545)
Source: RNAcentral
CAAAGGAGGCGGUGUGGUUGCAAAAGUUCUUAUCGAGCUAAGAGUUGUACCUUCCAUUGAUGGUCCUGUCCUGCUGUAUUGUGACAGCUUCAGUGCCAUAACUCAGGCGAAAGAACCUAAGUCACACCAUCGUACUAAAUAUGUUCUGCGCUGCUAUCACCUAAUGCGAGAGAUCGUGAAUCGAGGUGACGUCGAGCUUCAGAAGAUCAACGGAAAGAACCUAAGUCACAUCAUCGUACUAAAUAUGUUCUGCGCUGCUAUCACCUAAUGCGAGAGAUCGUGAAUCGAGGUGACGUCGAGCUUCAGAAGAUCAACGGAAAGGAGAACUUAGCCGACCCCUUCACUAAAGCUCUCGGGAUCAAAGAGUUCAAUGACUUCAAAUGGAAGAUGGGUAUAAGAUACUGCCUCGAUUGGCUUUAGUCUAAGCGGG